AAUCAACGCUGGCGGCGUGCCUCAGACAUGCAAGUCGAACGAUUAAAGCUCUCUUCGGAGAGUGCAUAAAGUGGCGCACGGGUGAGUAACACGUAAGUAAUCUACCUUCGAGUGGGGAAUAACGUCCGGAAACGGACGCUAAUACCGCAUAAUGCAGCGGCAUCGCAAGAUGACAGUUGUUAAAGAUUUAUCGCUUGAAGAGGAGCUUGCGGCAGAUUAGCUAGUUGGUAAGGUAAUGGCUUACCAAGGCUACGAUCUGUAACCGGUCUAAGAGGACGGUCGGUCACACUGACACUGAAUAACGGGUCAGACUCC
This 315-nucleotide ribosomal RNA is filed under the name uncultured bacterium. RNAcentral describes it as "bacterial SSU rRNA". It matches the Rfam family "Bacterial small subunit ribosomal RNA", at positions 32 to 339 of the family's 1533-position model. The record is from RNAcentral.